CUGGACUUCUCUGGCGGAUAAUCUUCAGACGAGCUUCCACAUCAGGUGAAUUUCAGAUGGACUUCUCUAGCAAUUGGACUCCUACCAGACUUCACCGAUGGAAAGUCUCCUUUCGAGCUUCUACGGCAGAUGACUCCCACCUGUAGUAUCAGUGCCUAAGGUAUCCAACAGCAGUAAACUCAUCAGCAGCUUCAGAAACAUCUGAGCUUCUCCUAGAUCGAUGGGAUAGAAAGUCAUUCCGCUCCAUCAGAUAUCCCAGCCAAACUCUAGCCAACAGAUCCAAACUCUUUGGCAAGUCGCGACAAUGGCCACUACCCUGCUCUACUCUCUGCAAUGGAUUCCGCAUGGCUCCACUACUCUCUGGCGAGCCGCGACAACAGACACCACUCCACUCUCCAUAACAAACUCCACGUGGCCCUGAAUGACCCCUGACGCCACUACUCU
Molecule: long non-coding RNA, 444 nt
Filed under: Elaeis guineensis (African oil palm)
Lineage: Eukaryota; Viridiplantae; Streptophyta; Magnoliopsida; Arecales; Arecaceae
Description: long non-coding RNA (EGUI_LNC066254)
Source: RNAcentral